CCUGGCAGCUCAGAUGGCAAAGCAUCUGCCUGCAAUGCAGGAGACCCAGGUUUGAUCCCUGGGUCAGGA
This 69-nucleotide transfer RNA is filed under the name Bos taurus (domestic cattle). It matches the Rfam family "tRNA". Rfam says of the family: Transfer RNA (tRNA) molecules are approximately 80 nucleotides in length. The record is from Rfam by way of RNAcentral. Lineage: Eukaryota; Metazoa; Chordata; Mammalia; Artiodactyla; Bovidae. RNAcentral also lists the same sequence under 5 other names.